Cuculus canorus (common cuckoo) is the source of this 1694-nucleotide long non-coding RNA. RefSeq lists it as uncharacterized. Lineage: Eukaryota; Metazoa; Chordata; Aves; Cuculiformes; Cuculidae. The transcript is spliced from 5 exons. The record is from RefSeq and is a predicted model, not a curated record.
AAUACAAGCAGGUUAGAUUUCAAAGGUUAGAAAUGUGUGGGCAGGACAGGGAUUAGCAAGAAUCUUUAGUCUUUGGUGAUUGAGAAGGUUUUCUUAAGAUCCUUUCAGCUCUUCCAAAUGAAUUCCUCGCCAACGGGGGCAGAGGGUGUGUCUUCUGGAUUAGCUCAACCAGAAGUUACAGUUUUGAUGCAGCAAUAUUAAGUGAGAUCCUGCAGAUGACUUGUAAAGAAGGUCAGGCUGGAUUAUGUAGCCAUCUGGUUUUGACAUUCAAGUGUCCUGUGUAAAACUAUUCAUAGCUGUUAAGGUUUGGUUACAAACUGGAUUAUACCCAGGGAAAUUUCAGUAGGCAAAGUAGACUAUGGUUAUGAGCUGUGUUGUAGAAGCCAUAGUUGUACAGUGUAGCUUGGGACUGAAAAUUGUAGAGCUUGAUCAUUGUAACACAGUUUCUUCAUCAUAAAUACUGUGGGGGGGUUAUUGAGUUAUUAGAAACAACAGUAAAAAAACUAAACUUCUUUAAUAGAUACACACCAAAAAUUGCUGUGAAAUUGAGAUGGUCUUUCCUCGUUUGCUAUAUAUAGAGUAAAUCAUGUGUUGAUUAGCAAACUGCUCUACCUACCCCAGUCUUGUCAUAAGUGAGGGCUAUGCAAUAUGAUAGCAUAGCCAGUAAAAACAAAGCUCAUAGUGUGUAUUAUUAUGUUCUAACUGACUUUUUUUUUUAACAUUUUUUUUUUUACUAAAAGCUAUUAGGUUGAAAUUUCUGAGUGAGUUGCUGUCUCUUUUCAAAAUUCACCAAUAAAUCAGCAAUAUGAGACUUUGUAGUAUAUGAAAAUGAGUUCUGUCAAAGAGUUAUUGAUAAACAAGCUCUGAACAUGCUACCAGUAAGAAGAGUCUGGCUCCACAAAAGUUGCCCCAGUUUACCUCAGCACCUGCCUGUCUCAAUUUUCUCUUGGUUGCAAGGAAGGGGAACUUACUCUUUCCAGGCCUGAUGCAGGAAACAAAAGUUCCUCCACUUCAUUUAUAGCACAAGUAAGUGCCUUCUCACUUGUUGCAUAUGAAGUUUCUCAAUGUUUGUCCUGGUUUAGUCCUGUCCGAGCCUGGUCUGAAGUGGGCAGCCUGUGGGAGAAGUCUACCUGCAGUAAGGAAAACGGAGGAGCAACCCCUGACAAAAAUACAAGGAAUACUUCUGGAUUGAGACCUGGAAGAGAAGGUGUAAACAAAACGAAGUUAGGUUUCUGCUGGUAACAGUCACCCAGAUAUGCAUGUGAACAAUCACUGCCAAAAAAGAGGAAAAAAAAAACCACAAAGGAAAUUGUAUAAUCUCACAGCUGCAGAUUUUGACAACUAGUGUUAGCCCUUACUGAAAUCCUUCAGCGAGACAGCGUUAUGCAGUGUCUCAGAAGCAAGUUGCCUGUUUCUGCUUUAUAAAGAUCCAAUAUGAAGAUAACCCUUCAGUGUCACUGAGAACGAAGCAGAGAAAUGUUCUUCAGGACGCUGCUUUUCAGCUGAAAUCCUUUGCUCCAUUGUAUUGUUCCUAACACAACUCUGUGUCCUGAGACAGCAGGAAAGGACCAUCGCUUUUUCUGUGAGCUGCAGAAAGAGAAGAGAAAACUUCCAUCAAAGGAGGCUACACUAAAAGUCAUCACUACUCCAGAAGCAAGACGUGGCCUGCUGCUUCGGUGGCUCAGCAAAGUAAG